Molecule: long non-coding RNA, 467 nt
Filed under: Ananas comosus (pineapple)
Lineage: Eukaryota; Viridiplantae; Streptophyta; Magnoliopsida; Poales; Bromeliaceae
Description: long non-coding RNA (ACOM_LNC028017)
Source: RNAcentral
GGAAAAAUUUCAAAUACCCUCGUAUGGUUUCGCACUUUCUCACUUUAGUACUCUAUGAUUUAAAUUAUAUCAAAUUAGUACCUGUGGUUUCGCACUUUCUUACUUUAGUACCCUAUGAUUUUAAGUGUAUCAAGUUAGUAUCCUGUGGUUUCGCACUUUCUCGCUUUAGUACUCUGUGGUUUAAUAUUUCGUUAAAUUAUAUACUCCGAAAUGGAUAAUAAAAAGAGAAAAUUGAAAUCACAGGAUACUAACUUGAUAUACAAAAAUAAAACAACUGGAUACUAACUUGAUACACUUGAAACCACAGGGUACUAAAAUGAGAAAGUGCGAAACCUUAUGGUACUAACUUGAUAUAUUUUAAACCACAGGAUACUAAAAUGAAAAAGUGCAAAACUUGAUAUAUUUUAAACCACAGGAUACUAAAAUGAAAAAGUGCAAAACUACGAUGGGGUAUUUGAAGUUGCCCC